This 952-nucleotide ribosomal RNA is filed under the name uncultured bacterium. RNAcentral's name for it is "bacterial SSU rRNA". It matches the Rfam family "Bacterial small subunit ribosomal RNA", at positions 9 to 941 of the family's 1533-position model. The record is from RNAcentral.
GAGUUUGAUCCUGGCUCAGAACGAACGCUGGCGGCGUGCCUAACACAUGCAAGUCGCACGAGAAAUCCUGGGCAACCGGGAAAGUAAAGUGGCGCACGGGUGAGUAACGCGUGGGUAACCUGCCCUUGAGUUGGGGAUAACCCCGCGAAAGCGGGGCUAAUACCGAAUAACAUGUCAAUUCCCAAGGGGAUUGGCAUCAAAGGUGGCCUCUGCAUGCAAGCUAUCGCUUAAGGAUGGGCCCGCGUACCAUUAGCUUGUUGGUAGGGUAACGGCCUACCAAGGCAAUGAUGGUUAGCUGGUCUGAGAGGAUGGCCAGCCACACUGGAACUGAGACACGGUCCAGACUCCUACGGGAGGCAGCAGUGGGGAAUCUUGCGCAAUGGGGGAAACCCUGACGCAGCAACGCCGCGUGGGUGAUGAAGGCCUUCGGGUCGUAAAGCCCUGUCAGGUGGGAAGAAACCUGUGGAUGCCAAUACCAUCUACAGUUGACGGUACCACCGGAGGAAGCACCGGCUAACUCCGUGCCAGCAGCCGCGGUAAUACGGAGGGUGCAAGCGUUGUUCGGAAUUAUUGGGCGUAAAGCGCGUGUAGGCGGUUGAGUAAGUCAGAUGUGAAAGCCUUCCGCUUAACGGAAGAAGUGCAUUUGAAACUGCUCAGCUAGAGUACGGGAGAGGAGAGUGGAAUUCCCGGUGUAGAGGUGAAAUUCGUAGAUAUCGGGAGGAACACCAGUGGCGAANGCGGCUCUCUGGUCCGAUACUGACGCUGAGACGCGAAAGCGUGGGGAGCAAACAGGAUUAGAUACCCUGGUAGUCCACGCCGUAAACGAUGGGCACUAGGUGUAGGAGGUAUUGACCCCUUCUGUGCCGAAGCUAACGCAUUAAGUGCCCGCCUGGGGAGUACGGCCGCANGUUAAACUCAAAGGAAUUGACGGGGCCGCACAGCGUGGAGCAUG